GCUCUGCUCUGAGAGAUGAUCGGAUCUGACAUAACAACUCCGUCUGAUUCGUCGUAGGAAGAUGGAAGACCGGGAGAAGAUCGAUCUUCUUACUUACUAAGGUUUUCGACCGAUUGAAGCACUCUUUGCACAACAUUGUUGCCGGAAUAUUAAGGGGGCUUCCUUUCCCUUCCGAAAGCUGUCGACACCAAAAAGUGUUGCACCCAAAAUUUGGCUGUAAUUGACGCCGUCCACGCCAAGAAACGAUCGAUAGAUGCAUCAAUGUAGCGGUAGCGCUUCUGAAGAGGGAACCCCGAAAUAAAAAUUAAUCAUCUUUGUUUACCCACACGUUGAUGAAAGACGUUUAUCUUCCUCAUCAUCAUCGUCGUCUCAUCAUCAUCACCUCGCCGUGUUGUUGAUCUUCUUGACACCUCCGGUAAGCUGAUGUCAUUGCGUGAACUCCUUUUUAUGGUUACUCAAACUAAAAACCCUUCCGAUAAGUUCCAAGUUCACGUGCCAGAAAAUGGACCAGAG
This is a long non-coding RNA of Uranotaenia lowii, 513 nucleotides long. RefSeq lists it as uncharacterized. Lineage: Eukaryota; Metazoa; Arthropoda; Insecta; Diptera; Culicidae. The record is from RefSeq and is a predicted model, not a curated record. The transcript is spliced from 3 exons.